CCUACGGGAGGCAGCAGUGGGGAAUAUUGCACAAUGGGGGGAACCCUGAUGCAGCGACGCCGCGUGAAGGAAGAAGUAUUUCGGUAUGUAAACUUCUAUCAGCAGGGAAGAAAAUGACGGUACCUGACUAAGAAGCCCCGGCUAACUACGUGCCAGCAGCCGCGGUAAUACGUAGGGGGCAAGCGUUAUCCGGAUUUACUGGGUGGAAAGGGAGCGUAGGCGGCAGUGCAAGUCAGAAGUGAAAGCCCAAGGCUCAACCAUGGGACUGCUUUUGAAACUGGCAAACUGGAGUGUGUGAGAGGAUAGUGGAAUUCCAGGUGUAGGAGUGAAAUCCGGAGAUAUCUGGAGGAACAUCAGUGGCGAAGGCGACUAUCUGGCACAUAACUGACGCUGAGGAGCGAAAGCGUGGGUAGCAAACAGGAUUAGAUACCCGUGUAGUC
Molecule: ribosomal RNA, 440 nt
Filed under: uncultured bacterium
Lineage: Bacteria
Description: partial 16S ribosomal RNA
Rfam family: Bacterial small subunit ribosomal RNA
Source: RNAcentral